Molecule: ribosomal RNA, 512 nt
Filed under: uncultured delta proteobacterium
Lineage: Bacteria; Deltaproteobacteria
Description: bacterial SSU rRNA
Rfam family: Bacterial small subunit ribosomal RNA
Source: RNAcentral
CUAUGCGCCUUGCCACGCCCGCUCAAGAAACUCAAAGGAAUUGGACGGGGCCCGCACAAGCGGUGGAGCAUGUGGUUCAAUUCGACGCAACGCGAAGAACCUUACCUGGGCUAGACAACAGUGGACCGUCCUAGAGAUAGGAUUUUCCCUUCGGGGACCGCUGGUUCAGGUGCUGCAUGGCUGUCGUCAGCUCGUGCCGUGAGGUGUUGGGUUAACGUCCCGCAACGAGCGCAACCCUCGUACUUAGUUGCCACCAUUCAGUUGGCACUCUAGGUAGACUGCCGGCGUUAAGCCGGAGGAAGGUGGGGACGACGUCAAGUCAUCAUGGCCCUUAUGCCCAGGGCCACACACGUGCUACAAUGGGCGGCACAAAGGGUCGCGAACCCGCGAGGGGGAGCCAAUCCCAAAAAGCCGUUCUCAGUUCGGAUUGGAGUCUGCAACUCGACUCCAUGAAGUUGGAAUCGCUAGUAAUCGCGGAUCAGCACGCCGCGGUGAAUACGUUCCCGGGCCUU